GCUCCAAUAGCUGAGUGGUCCAGCACUUGGGAGUUAUGAUUGACGGAACACAGCUCACCAAGAGGAGGUCAGUUCGAUUCUGGCUUGGAGUG
Mycena latifolia is the source of this 92-nucleotide non-coding RNA. The record is from the annotation of a GenBank genome assembly. Lineage: Eukaryota; Fungi; Basidiomycota; Agaricomycetes; Agaricales; Mycenaceae.